UCCGUAGGCGGGCGACUAAGUCAGAGGUGAAAUCCCACAGCUUAACUGUGGAACUGCCUUUGAUACUGGUUGUCUUGAGUUAUAAUGAAGUAGAUAGAAUAUGUAGUGUAGCGGUGAAAUGCUUAGAUAUUACAUAGAAUACCGAUUGCGAAGGCAGUCUACUAACUAUAUACUGACGCUAAUGGACGAAAGCGUGGGGAGCGAACAGGAUUAGAUACCCUGGUAGUCC
This 229-nucleotide ribosomal RNA is filed under the name uncultured bacterium. RNAcentral's name for it is "partial 16S ribosomal RNA". It matches the Rfam family "Bacterial small subunit ribosomal RNA", at positions 568 to 796 of the family's 1533-position model. The record is from RNAcentral.